AUCAUAAUCAACCAGUUGCUGAUAUCAGAAGAAAAUCUACUGACUGAUUAAUGCUCUCAAUUCUCUUAUCCUUUCCCAACUCCACCAACUCCAUAAUUCUAAGAUGCGACUGUUAUGAAAAACAUGAAAAUGAGAUUUCAGAAUACAAUUAACUUAAUUCACUUGGUUUUCUUAUCCUGUCCUAACUCCAUUGACUCAGUAAAGACUGUUCCAUGGAAUUUAAGAUGAUACACCUUUCCAAUGCAACAGAACUAGAUUUUGUAAUUCACUCAACUCUUCAAGGUUGUGUGCAAGAAGCAGAAAAAGUUAUAACAAUAGACCAAUGCAAUUUGCUAAAUCCCUGUAAUGAUAGCAAAACUUUGAUAGAAGAUGUUGUAGUUCAUGUGGGGCCAAAUUCAAUUUGAA
RNAcentral lists this unclassified non-coding RNA (405 nucleotides) under Hevea brasiliensis (rubber tree). Lineage: Eukaryota; Viridiplantae; Streptophyta; Magnoliopsida; Malpighiales; Euphorbiaceae. The record is from RNAcentral.